UUUUGCAUAAAUUAGAAACAAUAAUCUCUUAUAUUUAUAUAUAUAUAUAUAUAUAAUACAUGGAUACAUACAAAAAAUUACAUAUGAGUCGAUGGCUCGAGCAACAAGUUGCACCGCUAAACCUUUUUAGAUGGCAAAAUUAGUUCUCAUAAACAACUCAUUCAUGGACCUAGAAGACAUAAUGUUGUUAUACGUGACCAUUUGAACUAUAUGUAGAAGGUCAACAACCUCUGGUGCUAGAAAGACAAAUGUGCAACGCAAAUAGUAUAAAAGCGUUGAUUGUCACAACACGUUUCCUCAAGAAUAGAUCCUAUUGCUACCAUAGCCAGAGGAUUUGUUUCUUGUUGAGGUGGGGAGUCAGGAAUUUUUGUGAUGAUAUGAGGUGGGGGAAAUGUAGUGUUGUUGUCUAUAGGCAUAUUCUCCUUUAGCUUUAUCAUAACCCUUGGUUGCUUUGGAAAACGCAACUUAUGUCUGUCUCUUAUUUAUGAUUUCCCCAUAUUUUGUUUCAGAAUCUGAUGAAGAUAGGUCUGAAAGAUCCGCUAUUAUGGAAGGCUUCUUUCCUUUAGGUUCAACUUUCUUUACUGCUUUUGCAAGUAUAGGUGAGGGUGAUUUAUGUCUAGGCGGAGAAGGAAUUUGUGAAUUGAUGAUUUAAAGGUGUAGGAUCUUUUUGUUGGUUCAUAUUAUGUUAAAGGCUUGGUUUAAAGUUGAGUUUGUUUUGAUGGUGAGUAUGUCAAAUGCUGAGGGAUUUCAACUUUAGUUUCAGUGUUAGACUGUAGUUUAGAUGGUGCGGGUUGUAGUUCAGUUUUUUAUUCAUUUUGGUUAGAGGGAGUGGGGGUAAUGGAUUGUGUGAGAGUGGAUGUUCGGGUCUUGGGUUGGUGAAGUUUGGUUGUGGAUUUUUACAUGAAAUAUGGCCUUAUUUGUUUGGUAAUUGACCUUCUUGGAAGAGUUGCACCUAUUUGUCUUGGUUUCUUGAUCUUAGUGGAAAGUUUUCCGUUUAAGUUGGCCUAUGCAACCCUACUAAGAGUUGGUGAGGUUCCUGAUAGUCUAAGGCUGAGGUGGUUGCAACCUUAGCCAAUGUAUGAAGGUUGUGGGUGCCUUUGAAAACGGGUGCCUUUAAUUUCUUGGCAACUCUUUCAGGAUUGUGUGCUUCCGUGGCAAAACCUUCUUAGGUGUUGGGUUGUUCUGCCUUUGGGAGUGAGAGAUGUGUUUUUUGUGGGGUGUCAUUCGGAGAGAAUAUGUGAGAGUUAGUGCUCCCUCGUGGUAUGGUUUUGCUUUUUGCGUAUUUUAAGGGUUUGUGCGUAGGUAAGAGAGUGUGGUUAGGGUUGGUUUAUGUUUGGUAUGUUGUUGUGUGGUCCGUCUAAUUCUCUCGUAAUGACCUUAUCUUUUUUGGAGACUCGACUUCGGCUAAGCAUUUGGUGGACAUGGUGAAUUUUUAGCCUGAAAGUGGUUCCUUGCAAACUACCUUACUAGCCUAUUCUAAAUAUAUGAGUGGAAGGUACAACCUGUCAUGUGUUGGACGCGAUAGGGUCUUGUGGUAGUGUUGGUUCUUCUGUUGUUUAAUGGUGGGUAUGGGGUUGCUGUCCAUCUUGGGUUGUCGAAACCUACAUGCGUUACUUUUUAUCUCUUUCUUGUAGGAUAGAGUUGUAGCUUUUCAGUGGAGUGCAUGUGUUCCUUAGGGUGGUUUGUCGUUUUAAUUUUGAUUGUUGAAGUGUCAUGUUUCUCUUAUGUGUCGUGUAUUUCGGUGCUGGGUGUUCAUCUAUUUAGUUUGAUCUUGAGCUUUAUAAAGUUAAUUUUUAAGGUGGAUUAUAUUUAAUGAGUUAGAUUUUUGUCAUGCAUUUUUGGGACAAAAGAAUGAAGAAAAAAUUGAAAUGUGAAGUUUUUAUGAUGUUGUAGAAUUUUGAGAGAUUGAAAAAAAAACUAGUAAAUUGUUAGAAAACGAAUCCAUCAAGUCUUUUUUACAACCUUUUGGAGGUGGGAAAGUUGUUUGAUUAUGCUUGAAUUGUUUCCGUUUUUAUAAAUUUGAAAAAACAUCGUAUAAUUGAAAAAGGUUACUGUAAAUUCAUCAUAGAAAAGUUUAUAAUGAAAUAUGGAAUUUUGAGAAAAAACUUUGAAGUAGAUUGAUUUAAUAUACAUUAUCAAACCCAAGGUCCUGAUUUAAUAUAUAUUUUGAGAAAAUUAUUUGAACUUGGUACUUUUUAAAACAAAUGAAGAUUUCUUAAAAUGUUAAAUUAUUUUGAAAAAAGAAUUUGAGAAUUCUUGAUUUUCUUAAGAGUUUUAGUAUAGGGUUUCUAAUUUUUAAUUUGAGAACUUUUGGCAAAGUUGUGUUAGGAGAGUGAAAAACCCUAGGGCCAGAGUAUUUUGGCAAAGCUGGCAAAGUUGAUUUUCUAAUUUUUCAUUUCAGGUUGGUUUAGAAGCUUUUUUUUAUAUAUAUAAGUUGAUUGCUUGACUUAAGGUACGAGAAAACUUUGAAGGAGUUACAAAUUCUUGUAAGUGGAGGGCUAACGAGGUCCAAGCAGCAGCUUCCACCUGAAUUCUAUGUGAUAGCUCAUUGACUGCAGCUGCAAUUUCAUCCACUGUGUUUAGUCGACUCCCUUCUUCUACCUAUUAUUAAUUCCAAUAUAUAAAUUAGUAAUCAAAUUAUUUUUCACUAAUUUCAAUAUAAUUUAAUAAAGUAAUAUGGUUUAAAAAAUUGACAUGGAGGUUUUGGUUUUCUGACAGUCACCCUGGUUGACCUUGUUCUCACUAAGAGUGCAGAUGGUGAAGCCUAUUCUCUGUUCGAACCUUGCAGUGCGUAUGGAAGAAAAAGAAUACAAAAUUGGAAUGAUAUAACUGAUCAUCAAUUCUUUGUGCUCAAUGAGUGGAAAGCAACAUGGAAAGUACGCCAGCCAACAACCACUAAAUCACCUAGUACAGGAAAUGUGAAAUGGUUGAAACCAAAUGCAGGCAGGUUCAAAUGUAACAUUGAUGUGUCCUUCUCAACGCAAUAUAAUGAAGUUUAGAGAUGUAUGUACUCGCAAAAAUUGGAUAUGUGUAAAAGAGAUGAUACAAGUGCAUCUCUACGGGCAAAAAUCGAAUGGUUUAGUCCAAUCUGCAAUGUUCAUAUGGGUGAAGCAUUAGGAUGCCUUUUGGUGUUGAAUUGGGUUCAUGAACUAAACUUGAAAACCGUUGAUUUUAAGCUUGAUUCAAAGAGUGUGUCGGAUAAAUUUCCCUCAAACAAGAUGUAACAAAAUUUGGGGCUAAUAAUUUGCAUAUAGCUUUAUUUAAUCAAUAUUAUGUAAACUUCAAUGUUGAG
Molecule: long non-coding RNA, 3292 nt
Organism: Medicago truncatula (barrel medic)
Lineage: Eukaryota; Viridiplantae; Streptophyta; Magnoliopsida; Fabales; Fabaceae
Exons: 3
Source: RefSeq, a predicted model, not a curated record